GAUGAACGCUGGCGGCGUGCCUAAUACAUGCAAGUCGAGCGAACGGACGAGAAGCUUUCUUCUCUGAUGUUAGCGGCGGACGGGUGAGUAACACGUGGAUAACCUACCUAUAAGACUGGGAUAACUUCGGGAAACCGGAGCUAAUACCGGAUAAUAUUUUGAACCGCAUGGUUCUAAAGUGAAAGACGGUCUUGCUGUCACUUAUAGAUGGAUCCGCGCUGCAUUAGCUAGUUGGUAAGGUAACGGCUUACCAAGGCAACGAUGCAUAGCCGACCUGAGAGGGUGAUCGGCCACACUGGAACUGAGACACGGUCCAGACUCCUAAGGGAGGCAGCAGUAGGGAAUCUUCCGCAAUGGGCGAAAGCCUGACGGAGCAACGCCGCGUGAGUGAUGAAGGUCUUCGGAUCGUAAAACUCUGUUAUUAGGGAAGAACAGAUGUGUAAGUAACUGUGCACAGCUUGACGGUACCUAAUCAGAAAGCCACGGCUAACUACGUG
This 497-nucleotide ribosomal RNA is filed under the name uncultured bacterium. Its description in RNAcentral is "partial 16S ribosomal RNA". It matches the Rfam family "Bacterial small subunit ribosomal RNA", at positions 28 to 507 of the family's 1533-position model. The record is from RNAcentral.